AAAGGGAGGAAAAGAAACCAACCGGGAUUGCCUCAGUAACGGCGAGUGAAGCGGCAAGAGCUCAAAUUUGAAAGCUGGCUCCUUCGGAGUCCGCAUUGUAAUUUGCAGAGGAUGCUUUGGGUGCGGCCCCCGUCUAAGUGCCCUGGAACGGGCCGUCAGAGAGGGUGAGAAUCCCGUCUUGGGCGGGGUGUCCGUGCCCGUGUAAAGCUCCUUCGACGAGUCGAGUUGUUUGGGAAUGCAGCUCUAAAUGGGUGGUAAAUUUCAUCUAAAGCUAAAUACUGGCCGGAGACCGAUAGCGCACAAGUAGAGUGAUCGAAAGAUGAAAAGCACUUUGAAAAGAGAGUUAAACAGCACGUGAAAUUGUUGAAAGGGAAGCGCUUGCGACCAGACUCGCCCGCGGGGUUCAGCCGGCAUUCGUGCCGGUGUACUUCCCCGUGGGCGGGCCAGCGUCGGUUUGGGCGGCCGGUCAAAGGCCCCUGGAAUGUAGUGCCCUCCGGGGCACCUUAUAGCCAGGGGUGCAAUGCGGCCAGCCUGGACCGAGGAACGCGCUUCGGCACGGACGCUGGCAUAAUGGUCGUAAACGACCCGUCU
This 591-nucleotide ribosomal RNA is filed under the name Aspergillus niger. RNAcentral describes it as "partial large subunit ribosomal RNA". It matches the Rfam family "Eukaryotic large subunit ribosomal RNA", at positions 48 to 654 of the family's 3401-position model. The record is from RNAcentral. Lineage: Eukaryota; Fungi; Ascomycota; Eurotiomycetes; Eurotiales; Aspergillaceae.